CCCUUAGAUGUUCUGGGCUGCACGCGCGCUACACUGAUGCAUCCAACAAGUUUUUUCCUUGUUCGAGAGGACUAGGUAAUCUUAUGAGAAUGCAUCGUGAUGGGGAUAGAUUAUUGCAAUUAUUAAUCUUCAACGAGGAAUUCCUAGCAAGCGCGAGUCAUCAGCUCGUGCUGAUUACGUCCCUGCCCUUUGUACACACCGCCCGUCGCUGCAACUGAUUGGGUGACCUGGUGAACAUCUUGGACCGGCCCACUCAAUUUCGAGAGGACUGGAAAAGGCCGUAAAUCAGGUACAUCUAGAAAUUGCAAAAGUCGUAACA
RNAcentral lists this ribosomal RNA (319 nucleotides) under uncultured eukaryote. RNAcentral's name for it is "partial 18S ribosomal RNA". It matches the Rfam family "Eukaryotic small subunit ribosomal RNA", at positions 1470 to 1796 of the family's 1831-position model. The record is from RNAcentral.